CAUUAAAAAUUAUCUAUUUUUAUGUUAAAAACUGCCGUAGUUGACAAAACAACCAACACUUAUGUCACAUAUACUUCAUUCUGAUGUAUAGGGAUCAAUUUUUAAUAGUAAAAAUGGAUAAAUUUGUUAAUA
Non-coding RNA from Gossypium raimondii (Peruvian cotton), 132 nucleotides. NCBI's taxonomy places the organism in Eukaryota, Viridiplantae, Streptophyta, Magnoliopsida, Malvales, Malvaceae. The record is from Rfam.